This 468-nucleotide ribosomal RNA is filed under the name uncultured bacterium. Its description in RNAcentral is "partial 16S ribosomal RNA". It matches the Rfam family "Bacterial small subunit ribosomal RNA", at positions 28 to 507 of the family's 1533-position model. The record is from RNAcentral.
GACGAACGCUGGCGGCGUGCUUAACACAUGCAAGUCGAACGGAAAGGCCCUGCUUUUGUUGGUUGCUCGAUUGGCGAACGGGUGAGUAACACGUGAGUAACCUGCCCUUGACUUUGGGAUAACUUCAGGAAACUGGGGCUAAUACCGGAUAGGAGCUCCUGCUGCACGGUGGGGAUUGGAAAGUUCCGGCGGUUGGGGCUGGACUCGCGGCUUAUCAGCUUGUUGGGGGGGUAGUGGCUUACCAAGGCUUUGAAGGGUAGCCGGCCUGAGAGGGGGAACGGCCACAAGGGUCCUGAGGGACGGCCCAGACUGCUACGGGAGGCAGCAGGGGGGAAUAUUGCAGAAUGGCGGGACGCCUGAUGCAGCGACCUUCGGUGCGGGAUGACCGGUUUCGGGUUGUAAACCGCUUUCGACUGUGAUGAAGCGGGAGUGACGGUACUGAGUAAAGAAGCACCGGCUAACUACGUG